UGCAAGUCGAACGGAGUUUACAGGCAGAAGUUUUCGGAUGGAAGCUUGUAAACUUAGUGGCGGACGGGUGAGUAACACGUGAGCAACCUGCCUAUCAGAGGGGGAUAACGAUUGGAAACGAUCGCUAAUACCGCAUGACAUAGCGGAACCGCAUGGUUCUGUUAUCAAAGAUUUAUCGCUGAUAGAUGGGCUCGCGUCCGAUUAGAUAGUUGGUGGGGUAACGGCCUACCAAGUCGACGAUCGGUAGCCGGACUGAGAGGUCGAACGGCCACAUUGGGACUGAGACACGGCCCAGACUCCUACGGGAGGCAGCAGUGGGGGAUAUUGCACAAUGGGGGAAACCCUGAUGCAGCGACGCCGCGUGAGGGAAGACGGUCCUCUGGAUUGUAAACCUCUGUCUUCGGGGACGAAACGAGACGGUACCCGAGGAGGAAGCCACGGCUAACUACGUGCCAGCAGCCGCGGUAAUACGUAGGUGGCAAGCGUUGUCCGGAAUUACUGGGUGUAAAGGGAGCGUAGGCGGGCAGGCAAGUCAGGCGUGAAAUAUAUCGGCUCAACCGGUAACGGCGCUUGAAACUGCAGGUCUUGAGUGAAGUAGAGGUUGGCGGAAUUCCUAGUGUAGCGGUGAAAUGCGUAGAUAUUAGGAGGAACACCAGUGGCGAAGGCGGCCAACUGGGCUUUUACUGACGCUGAGGCUCGAAAGUGUGGGGAGCAAACAGGAUUAGAUACCCUGGUAGUCCACACC
RNAcentral lists this ribosomal RNA (745 nucleotides) under uncultured bacterium. RNAcentral describes it as "bacterial SSU rRNA". It matches the Rfam family "Bacterial small subunit ribosomal RNA", at positions 56 to 801 of the family's 1533-position model. The record is from RNAcentral.